RNAcentral lists this long non-coding RNA (3401 nucleotides) under Homo sapiens (human). Its description in RNAcentral is "non-protein coding CCDC18-AS1:54". The record is from RNAcentral. Lineage: Eukaryota; Metazoa; Chordata; Mammalia; Primates; Hominidae.
AGCUUCCGCCUGCUACGGUCCUGGCAAGCACCUCGGGAUCCCAUUCCUUCACAGGGACCCUAGCCAGGAGUCUCUGCAUUAGUUGGACAGCUCUUCUGGAAUUAUCUUCUAAGUCAACUGUGGGUUGGGUAGGUGGCUCUGCUGAUUUUUCGCUGGACUUCCACAUUUGGGACGAGUUGGCUGUCAUCAGCUCUAGAAAGGGUGUGGCCGUUUUACAUUGGCUGUUUUCCUCACAUUCCUCAAGCAGGAGGGCUCUGAGAGAUUUCAUUUCUGUCCUGCUGAUGAAGUCUACGUUCAUUCAGGGCCUGCUGUGGAAGACCAGCCCCAAAGUUGCUGAACAGAAGACUUUUGAGAGUCAGCAGAAAUCUUCCACUUUGCAUGGUUCUCUUGAUGUGAAAUCAUCUAUAUAGCCCCAGAAUUGGAAAAGAAAAAAAAUAAAAAAAUGGAAGGAAACUGGAUUCGACAACAGUCUAAUGCUUUCUACUUUUAUUUACUUUUUCUUUAAAAAAAGUAAAUUCUGUUUAUAGUUACAAACAUCUGAUUUCUCAAUGAAUACUAGAGGAAAAAGGGAACAAAGGAAUCCAUAAUCUUCAAUUUACUUAAGAACUUAAUUAACCAAAUGCAAUGGACUCUAUUUGGGUACUGAUUUGAACAAAUAAACUAUAAAGACAUUUUUGAGACAAUUGGGGAAAUGUGAACAAUGAUUGGGUAUUUGAUGAUAUUAAGGAGUCACUGUCAAUUUUUAGGUGUGAUCAUGGUAUUGUGGUUCUGUUCCAAAAAAUAGCCCUUAUCUUUUAGAGCUAUGUUACAGUUUGGCUCCGUAUCCCCAUCCAGGCUUCAUCUUGAAUUGUAAUUCCUGUAUGUCAAAGGAGCAACCUGGUGGGAGGUGAUUGGGUCAUGGGGAUGGUUUCACCCAUGCUGUUCUCAUGAUAGUGAGUUCUCAUGAGAUCUGAUCGUUUAAAAGUGUGACACUUCCCCUCUUGCUCUCUUGUCUCCCACCACCAUGUAAGACAUGACUUGCUUCCCCUUCUGCCAUAAUCAUAAGAAUUGUAAUUUUCCUGAGGCCUCCCAAGCCAUGUGGAACUGUGAGUCAAUUAAACCUCUUUUCUUUAUAAAUUACCCUGCAACUGUCACCAUUCUCCAGACCCCAGAAUGGUAGAUCCAGCGACAGCCCUUGCACCUUCACCUGGAAAAGCCUCAGGCACUCACACCAGCCCUAAGACUGUGUAAUUUAUAAGGAAAAGAGGUUUAAUUGACUCACAGUUUUUAUAGCACUGUGAAAAUGGACUAAUAACAGAAAACUGGUAUCAGAAUAGUGGGGUACUACUAUAAAGAUAACCUGAAAAUGUGGAAGUGACUUUGGAACUGGGUAAUGGGCAGAGGUUAGAACAGUUUGGAGGAAUCAGAAGACAGGAAGAUGUGAGAAAGUUUGGAACUUCCUACAGACUUGUCAAAUGGUUUUGACUAAAAUGCUGAUAGUGAUAUGGACAAUGAAGUGCAAGCUCAGGUGGUCUCAGAUGGAGAUGAGAAACUUAUUGGAAACUAGAGUAUCUUGUAUGUUUUAGCAAAGAGACCAGUGGCAUUUUGCCCCCACCCCAGAGAUCUGUGGAACUUUGAAGUUGAGAGAGAUGAUUUAGGGUCUCUGAGAGAAGAAAUUUUUAAGGAUUCAAGAGGUGAUCUGGCUUUUGUGAAAGUGUACAGUCAUAUGCAUUCACAAAGAGAUGAUCUGAAAUUGGAACUUAUGUUUAAAAGGGAAGCAGAGCAUAAAAGUUAAAAAAAAAUUGCAGCUUGGCCAUGUGGUAGAAAAGAAAAACCCAUUUUAUGGGGAGAAAUUCAAGCUCGCUGCAGAAAUCUUCUUAAGUAAUGAGGAGCUAAAUAUUGCCAAGACAAUGGGGAAAAUGACUCCAGGCCAUUUCAGAGAUCUUCAAGGAAGCCUCUCCCAUCACAAGCCUGGAUAUCUAGGAGGAAAAAAUGGUUUUGUGGGCCAGGCUCAGAGCCCCACUGCUCUGUGCAGCCUCAAGACGGGGUGACCUGUAUUGCUGUUGCUUCAGCUCCACCCAUGGCUAAAAGGGGUCAAGGUACAGCUCAGACCAUUGCUUCAGAGGGUGCAAGCCCCACACCUUGGCAGCUUCCAUGUGGUGUUAAGUCUGCAGGUGCACAGAAGACAAGAGUUGAGCUUUGGGAGGCUCUGCCUAGAUUUCAGAGGAUGUGUGGAAAUGCCUGGAAGUCCAAGCAGAAGUCUGCUGUGGAGGUGGAGCCCUCAUGGAGAACCUCUACUAAGGCAGUACAGAGGAGAAAUGUGAGGUUGGAGCCCCCACACAGAGUCCCCACCGGGGCACUGGGUAGUGGAGCUGUAAGAAGAGGGCCACCAUUCUCUAGACCCCAGAAUGGUAGAUCCACCAACAGCUUGCACCGUGCACUUGGAAAAGCCCCAGGCACUCAACGCCAGCCCAUGAAAACAGCCACAGGGGCUGUACCCUGCAGAACCACAGGGGUGGAGCUGCCCAGAACUUUGGGAGUCCACCCCUUGCAUCAGUGUAGCUUGGAUGUGAGACAUGGAGUCAAAGGAGAUUAUUUUGGAGCUUUAACAUUUAAUGACUGCUCCACUGGGUUUCAGAUUUGCAUGGGCCUUGCAGCCUCUUUGUUUUGGCAAAUUUUUCCCAUUUGGAAGGGGAGCAUUUACCCAAUGCCUGUACCCCCAUUGUAUCUUGGAAGUAACUAACUUGUUUUUUAUUUUAUAGGCUCAUAGAUGGAAGGCUUGUCUCAGAUAAGACUUUGGACUUGGACUUUUGGGUUAAUGCUGGAAUGAGUUAAGACUUUGGGGUUCUGUUGGGAAGGCAUGAUUGUGUUUUGAAAUGUGAGAAGGACAAGAGAUCUGGGAGGGGCCAGGGUUGGAAUGAUAUGGCUUGGCUCUGUGUCCCCACCCGAAUCUCAUCUCAAAUUGUAAUCCUCACAUGUGGAGGAAGGUACCUGGUGGGAGCUGAUUGGAUCAUGGGGGUGGUUCCCCCAAGCUGUUCUCAUGAUAGUAAGUUCAUUCUCAUGAGAUCUGAUGGUUUAAAAGUGUGGCAUUUACACACUCUUUCUCUCCUGCUGCCAUGUAAGACAUGCCUUGCUUUCCCUUAACCUUCUGCCAUGAUUGUAAGUUUCCCGAGGUGUCCCCAGCCAUGUGAAACUGUGAGUUAAUUAAAGCUCUUUUCUUUAUAAAUUACCCAAUCUCAGGUAUUUCUUUAUAGCAGUGUGAAAAUGGACUAAUGGACUAAUGGAAAAUGGACUAAUACAAGAUACUUAUUGAAUAUAGAAUAAUUAUGUCUACAUAAUUAUUUACAGAUGAAAUAAUUAUGUCUAAAAUUUGCUUCAAAUAAUAUGUGAAUAUGGGGGAUGGGUUGGGAAUGGGUUUAACA